AUGCUGUGGAAGUGUAAGUAUUGUGAGUUUAUGUGUGAGAAAAGGGGUUACCUUUUAAAACAUUACCGGUUAAAACACGGAAACUAUGGAAGAACAGCCCCAUUUCCCUGCUUACACCAAGAAUGUGUGUGCACAUUCAACUCCAUGAAUGCACUCAAGGUUCACUUAGCAAAGAUCCACCAAAAAACCCAGGUUCCACAGCCAAUAUAUACUGCACAAGUAACCUUUCAGUGUCAGUCAUGUGACUUUUCUGCACCCUGCACAGAAGCAGUCUUCCUCACUCACUUGCGCAGUACACAUUUGAAGGUAAAUCACAGAGUCCAGUGUCCAUUUAAUGGCUGCAACUUUCACACCAGUGUGUAUUCUACAUUUAAUGCACACAGAAGUAAAGAGCACAGAACACUCGACUGGAGGAUGUUCAGGCCGGAAAUUGUUGCUGGUAAUGUAACUAAUGAAAUGGCACAAGAAUAUCACGAGCCUCCCAAUGACACCUCCGAAUCGGAAGACAAUGAGGACUCUACCAAUGAAGAUCUUCAUGAUUUAGAAAAACAGCUGGAGCACAAUCUUGCUGCUCUUUUUUUAAAGAUGCAAACAGUGCUACACAUUCCAGAAAAUACAGUACAAGAAGUUAUAAAACAGCUGCUACAGAUUUGUGAACUAGCCCAGCCACUGCUGCAUAAUGCAGUCAAGGAAAUUCUCAAACCACAUACAAAUGUGGAAGAUUCUGUUGUGGAAGAAUUAGUAAGGGCUGCUGAAAAGGGUAAUGUAAUGAUGAAAUUCUGUGGCAAGAAUGGCCCCUUAUCAACUACAAAAAGGAGAGCAGCAUAUGUGAAUAAAAACUUUACAGAGGUUAAACCAGUAGAGUACCUUAUUGAAAGAGGAAAAAAAUGUAGUGCUGUAUAUGUACCUUUGCAUCCAAUGCUACAGAAGAUGUUGAGUAGGGCAGACAUUUUGGAUAAAGCUCUUUCCAUCCAAAAGCAUGUGCAACAUGAGUACAGUUCAUACAGAGAUGGUACAUACUGUAAUGAAAAUGACCUCCUUAAAGGGGAUGAAUUCAAAAUCGCUGUUGGACUAUAUACAGAUGAUUUUGAAGUGUCCAACCCUUUGGGAACAUCUAGAAAGAAACACAAAAUGAGUGCAGUGUAUUGGGUGAUAGCUAAUGUCCCAUCAAAGUACAGAUCCACACUCCACUCCAUCCAGCUUGCUGUCUUGUGUAAAGCCUCUUAUGUGAAAGAAUUUGGCUAUGCAAAAAUUCUCCACCCACUCAUUCAAGAUCUAGCUUCUUUGGAGCAACAUGGUGUCUAUGUUGAGAAGUUGGGAGAAUGUGUUAAAGGGACAGUUGUAUAUGUGGCUGCAGAUAACCUGGCUGCUCAUUCUCUGGCAGGAUUCUUCGAAAGCUUUACGGUGGACAGAUUCUGCAGGUUCUGCAUGGCAACAAGGGACGAGAUGCAAGCCAAAGAGGUAAAUUCAGGUGCUUUUGAACCCCGCACUAUUGAUGCUCACAAUCAGCAGGUGCAGGAGGUAAAGCAGGAUCCUACUAAGGCAAAACAAUAUGGUGUUAAAGGAGAGUGUGUACUGACUGAUGGUCUGGAGCAUUUUCACGUUGUCCAUGGGUAUCCCCCCGACAUCCUCCAUGACCUUUUGGAAGGGAUUGUUCCUGUUGAGCUAUCACUCUGCAUUUCAAACAUGAUUUCUAAAAAAUAUUUUACCAUAGACACACUGAACUAUGCUAUAAAAGCUUUUGAAUAUGCCUUUGAUGACAAAACUGACCAGCCUCAGCCAAUUUCCCACAGCUUCUCUACCAAAGGGACCAUUGGUGGCAAUGGCCAUGAGAACUGGGCUCUACUUAGGCUGCUCCCACUUAUCAUUGGCCAUAAAGUCCCUGAGGGAGACGAUGCAUGGAACAUUUUACUGCUCCUAAAAGAGAUUGUUGAGUUGGCUGUUGCAACAAAGCACACUGAAGAGUCAGUACAUUUCCUUGACUGCAAAGUGUCAGAACACAGAGAAUUGUUGCAAACAACAUUCCCAGAUUUUAGAUUACGGCCAAAACAUCACUACCUCGAGCAUUACCCCGAGCUGAUCAAAGCAUUUGGUCCCCUUUCAGACGUUUGGACAAUGCGAUUUGAGGGGAAACACAAAUUCUUCAAACGGGUCAUACGUAAUGCCCACAACUUCAAAAAUGUAGCUCUGACAUUGGCUGUUAAGCAUCAGAAAAUGAUGGCUUACUAUUUGGACACAAGUUCAUUUUUCAGGCCAUCAGUUGAAAUGGACAAGGUCACUACAGCAUCAAUCAGAUCUUAUCCUGAGGAUGUCCAACAGGUUUUCUGCCGGAAAGUUCCUCAGCUCACAUCAGUGCUUGUUGCAUCAUCAGUCUCUGUAGAUGGAGUUACAUAUCGUUCUGGCAUGAUAGUCUCUGUUGGUUCAUGCGCUGGGCUACCUUCAUUUAGGCAGAUCAAACAGAUAGUGGCACUCAACACCGAGAUCCUGUUUAUUUGUAAUGAGAUGACUGCUUGGUACCACGAGCAUCUGAGGUCUUUUGAACUCAUCUGUGACAGCAGGAACCCCUCUCUGUGUGUGGUGCAGCUGAAAGAUCUAAAUGAUGUGUUCCCUCUUCCAGCAUACACAUAUGGUCAACAUUUAGUAGUGACCCUCAAGCGUCAUAUUAUAUGCUAA
Long non-coding RNA from Oreochromis niloticus (Nile tilapia), 2673 nucleotides. NCBI's taxonomy places the organism in Eukaryota, Metazoa, Chordata, Actinopteri, Cichliformes, Cichlidae. The record is from Ensembl.